RNAcentral lists this ribosomal RNA (720 nucleotides) under Acinetobacter radioresistens. RNAcentral describes it as "bacterial SSU rRNA". It matches the Rfam family "Bacterial small subunit ribosomal RNA", at positions 113 to 828 of the family's 1533-position model. The record is from RNAcentral. Lineage: Bacteria; Pseudomonadati; Pseudomonadota; Gammaproteobacteria; Moraxellales; Moraxellaceae.
AUGCUUAGGAGUCUGCCUAUUAGUGGGGGACAACGUUCCGAAAGGAGCGCUAAUACCGCAUACGUCCUACGGGAGAAAGCAGGGGACCUUUGGGCCUUGCGCUAAUAGAUGAGCCUAAGUCGGAUUAGCUAGUUGGUAGGGUAAAGGCCUACCAAGGCGACGAUCUGUAGCGGGUCUGAGAGGAUGAUCCGCCACACUGGGACUGAGACACGGCCCAGACUCCUACGGGAGGCAGCAGUGGGGAAUAUUGGACAAUGGGGGGAACCCUGAUCCAGCCAUGCCGCGUGUGUGAAGAAGGCCUUUUGGUUGUAAAGCACUUUAAGCGAGGAGGAGGCUACCUAGAUUAAUACUUUAGGAUAGUGGACGUUACUCGCAGAAUAAGCACCGGCUAACUCUGUGCCAGCAGCCGCGGUAAUACAGAGGGUGCGAGCGUUAAUCGGAUUUACUGGGCGUAAAGCGUGCGUAGGCGGCCAAUUAAGUCAAAUGUGAAAUCCCCGAGCUUAACUUGGGAAUUGCAUUCGAUACUGGUUGGCUAGAGUAUGGGAGAGGAUGGUAGAAUUCCAGGUGUAGCGGUGAAAUGCGUAGAGAUCUGGAGGAAUACCGAUGGCGAAGGCAGCCAUCUGGCCUAAUACUGACGCUGAGGUACGAAAGCAUGGGGAGCAAACAGGAUUAGAUACCCUGGUAGUCCAUGCCGUAAACGAUGUCUACUAGCCGUUGGGG